UAGGGAAUCUUCGGCAAUGGGGGCAACCCUGACCGAGCAACGCCGCGUGAGUGAAGAAGGUUUUCGGAUCGUAAAGCUCUGUUGUAAGAGAAGAACGUGUGUGAGAGUGGAAAGUUCACACAGUGACGGUAACUUACCAGAAAGGGACGGCUAACUACGUGCCAGCAGCCGCGGUAAUACGUAGGUCCCGAGCGUUGUCCGGAUUUAUUGGGCGUAAAGCGAGCGCAGGCGGUUUAAUAAGUCUGAAGUUAAAGGCAGUGGCUUAACCAUUGUUCGCUUUGGAAACUGUUAAACUUGAGUGCAGAAGGGGAGAGUGGAAUUCCAUGUGUAGCGGUGAAAUGCGUAGAUAUAUGGAGGUACACCGGUGGCGAAAGCGGCUCUCUGGUCUGUAACUGACGCUGAGGCUCGAAAGCGUGGGGAGCAAACAGG
Molecule: ribosomal RNA, 429 nt
Filed under: bacterium
Lineage: Bacteria
Description: partial 16S ribosomal RNA
Rfam family: Bacterial small subunit ribosomal RNA
Source: RNAcentral